CUUCAGUUUCUCCUACAUGCAUAUAUACUGCAUUUAAGAUGACUAUCACACCCAAAUUGCCAAAUAUCCCAUUUCUCUUGGUCCUUCUGAUGAUGAUGAUGGCAUUUCUCUUUAUUUCUGCCUACCCAGCUCGAUUUUGCAUCCCGCGACCGCAGCAGGCAAAUGCACCCCCAGAAUAUUUCUCACCAGGAGCUCCACAUUGCAUUAGAACUUGAGCACCGCCACAAUUGUAGCACAGAGGCAGAAGAAGGAAACAUAUAUAUAUAUAUACAUCGCUCGAUCAAAUCGGCCCAUGCAGAAGGGUGAAGAAUAAAAUUUUAAAAAAUAAAAAAUAAGAUUAAUUGCUUAAAAGAAGGAACCAUAUAUUUACUGAAUGUGAAACUGUUGUUUAUUUUGCGUUUUAAUGUGUAUCAGUAUUUGUUUGUUUGCUAUUUUGAAUUGUGAUUUGAUACAUCAAUGUUUUGAGUGUACUUUUUUUUUUUU
Ipomoea nil (Japanese morning glory) is the source of this 483-nucleotide long non-coding RNA. RefSeq lists it as uncharacterized. NCBI's taxonomy places the organism in Eukaryota, Viridiplantae, Streptophyta, Magnoliopsida, Solanales, Convolvulaceae. The transcript is spliced from 3 exons. The record is from RefSeq and is a predicted model, not a curated record.